UACAUGGGGUGCAAACGUUGCUCGGAAUCAUUGGGCGUAAAGCGCGCGUAGGCGGUUACUUAAGUCGGAUGUGAAAGCCCUUGGCUCAACUGAGGAAGUGCACCCGAAACUGAGUGGCUUGAGUACGAAAGAGGGUCGCGGAAUUCCCGGUGUAGAGGUGAAAUUCGUAGAUAUCGGGAGGAACACCGGUGGCGAAGGCGGCGACCUGGGUCGAUACUGACGCUGAUGCGCGAAAGCGUGGGGAGCAAACAGG
RNAcentral lists this ribosomal RNA (253 nucleotides) under uncultured bacterium. RNAcentral describes it as "partial 16S ribosomal RNA". It matches the Rfam family "Bacterial small subunit ribosomal RNA", at positions 524 to 776 of the family's 1533-position model. The record is from RNAcentral.